CAGUCGUACCGACGAGAGAUCAACCUUUCGAGUGCGAACCUGUGGACGUGCGUGAGUCUUUAACGGGCCUCGCUGUCUGCAAUGUUUGUGCUUUUGGGGUGUACUUUUUCGUAUCGGUAGGCCAACGUCAGUUUCGAUCACCGUAAAUGAUCGGAGGAAUGUAGCUUCGAUCUCGUAUUGAAGUGUUAGUA
This 191-nucleotide ribosomal RNA is filed under the name Glomus sp. (unid). The record is from RNAcentral. Lineage: Eukaryota; Fungi; Glomeromycota; Glomeromycetes; Glomerales; Glomeraceae.